CUCCAAGCAAGCAAAGGAUAUGCAUAGUGAAGGGCAUAGCGGCGAUACAUCUUCUCCUGAUGAGGCCCAAGAGCACAUGGCAUUUCUGUCAGGGAAAAGAAGUACAGAGAUGAAUGCUCAGCUAGCAAGAUGGGUAGCUGUUUUUCUUUGCAUUGCAGGAGGUUCAGAUGCAGAUAUCACCCAACCACGGAUCAUGGUGUUGGAGGAAGGUCAGGAUGCUAGGAUGGAAUGCACGCAAAACAAUGGGCAUUACAGCAUGUUUUGGUUUCAGCAGCAUAAACAGCAGCAGGAUCUCCACCUCCUGUAUAAUUUCUAUAACGGUAACAUCCAACAGAAGGACUCAUCUUUGCACCGUCUAAAUGCUGAUCAGCCCGAGAAGGGUCGCUCUUAUCUGAGUAUAUCAGGUGUGAAACCAGAGGAUUCAGCAGUGUACUUCUGUGCAAGCAGUGAAGCCACAGCACUUCAAAGUACUGUCUUCUUCCUUUAAAAAUCUUCUCCAUUUUUCUUUGUCUGUGAACUUCUUGCAGUUACAAAGAAACCUUGGGCUCCUCAGCCAGACUCAGCUACCUAAUGAUAUCAACUAAACUGAUAAACUGAACUCAAGCAAUUUGAAGGCUGGAUGGUCACAUGCAUGAUUUUAAGGGACUGGAGAUCCUAUAAUGGAUAGGAGGUCAUUGCUUAUGUAGCCAAAUGGAAUUGUGUUACAAACUGAGGAAAAGCAAAGUGAGUUUGGAGAUAUAUCAUAAGAGCAACUGGGAAUAUAUCUUCAAAAGGGUGCUCCUUUGAAGAUUGCUAAGAAAUUUCCUUCUUCCCUGAGAUAGUUAAGGGCAGUAAAAGACAAGGUAGCUGCAAGUUAAGUAGGGUAUCAGAUCUUGGAAGCAGAAAUCCAGACAAUCACUAGAUGGCAGCAAAGAGAAAGUGAAGCUAACUCUUUGCUGCCAUCUUGUGGUCUUGUUUUAAAUUCUGUAUCUCUAAAGCAGAAAUCAUUUAUGUUAUAUAUAUGUUCAUGCAGUAUUGUAGUUAAACAAAGAUGCCAUUGUUUCUAAACAGCUAGUCCUCGGAUUAAACCGAAGCAGACUAUAAUAAUUCUUCCCACCACAAGAUACCACAGCAAAAGAAUGUACAAGAAAGGAAAUAAAACCAGGAUGAGAAUGGUUAAGGGUCUCAUUUUGGGGGUGAAGCCACCUAUCACCAGCUUACAAGAAAUUAUGCUACUUCUGACCAAAUAAAUUCAGUUUUGCCAUACUGCCUUCUCAUAACCUUUGGAAAAAUCUCAAUCUCAACUGAUACUGUGUAUCAACUGUAUAUGUGUCCUACAUUUUUUCUUCCUAAAUGUAAUACCUUAUAUGCCUUCCUGUUCAAGGGCAUCUUAUUUCUCUCAGCCCAA
Molecule: non-coding RNA, 1387 nt
Organism: Python bivittatus (Burmese python)
Lineage: Eukaryota; Metazoa; Chordata; Lepidosauria; Squamata; Pythonidae
Source: the annotation of a RefSeq genome assembly